CCAAUAGCGUAUAUUAAAGUUGUUGCAGUUAAAAAGCUCGUAGUUGAACCUUAGGCCCGUGCGGGCGGUCCGUCCUCAGGGCGAGCACUGCCUCGUCGCGGGUCUCACCUUCUGGCGAGCGUGGAUGCCAUUUAUUUGGUGUCCGCGGGAACCAGGACCUUUACCUUGAAAAAAUUAGAGUGCUCAAAGCGGGCUCCGACGCUUGAAUACAUUAGCAUGGAAUAAUGAAAUAGGACGAUGGUUCUAUUUUGUUGGUUUCCGGGACCGUCGUAAUGAUUAAUAGGGAUAGUUGGGGGCAUUCGUAUUCAAUUGUCAGAGGUGAAAUUCUUGGAUUUAUUGAAGACGAACUACUGCGAAAGCAUUUGCCAAGGAUGUUUUCAUUAAUCAAGAACGAAAGUUGGGGGAUCGAAGACGAUCAGAUACCGUCGUAGUCUCAACCAUAAACUAUGCCGACUGGGAAUCGGGCGAUGUUACUUUUCUGACUCGCUCGGCGCCCCGAG
This 500-nucleotide ribosomal RNA is filed under the name uncultured Glomeromycotina. RNAcentral describes it as "partial small subunit ribosomal RNA". It matches the Rfam family "Eukaryotic small subunit ribosomal RNA", at positions 591 to 1092 of the family's 1831-position model. The record is from RNAcentral. Lineage: Eukaryota; Fungi; Glomeromycota.